RNAcentral lists this non-coding RNA (19 nucleotides) under Mus musculus (house mouse). Lineage: Eukaryota; Metazoa; Chordata; Mammalia; Rodentia; Muridae. The record is from RNAcentral.
UGACAGCGUACACUGAGCC